GACGAACGCUGGCGGCGUGCUUAACACAUGCAAGUCGAACGGGAUUUAGUAAACAGAAGCCUCGGUGGAAGAUUACUAAUGAGAGUGGCGAACGGGUGAGUAACGCGUGAGCAACCUGCCUAUGACAGUGGGAUAGCCUCGGGAAACCGGGAUUAAUACCGCAUAAAAUCGUAGAAACACAUGUUUUAACGGUCAAAGAUUUAUCGGUCAUAGAUGGGCUCGCGUCUGAUUAGCUAGUUGGUGAGGUAACAGCCCACCAAGGCGACGAUCAGUAGCCGGUCUGAGAGGAUGAACGGCCACAUUGGAACUGAGACACGGUCCAAACUCCUACGGGAGGCAGCAGUGGGGAAUAUUGCACAAUGGGGGAAACCCUGAUGCAGCGACGCCGCGUGAACGAAGAAGGUAUUCGUAUCGUAAAGUUCUGUCCUAUGGGAAGAUAAUGACAGUACCAUAGAAGAAAGCUCCGGCUAAAUACGUGCCAGCAGCCGCGGUAAUACGUAUGGAGCGAGCGUUGUCCGGAAUUAUUGGGCGUAAAGGGUACGCAGGCGGUUUAAUAAGUCGAAUGUUAAAGAUCGGGGCUCAACCCCGUAAAGCAUUGGAAACUGAUAAACUUGAGUAGUGGAGAGGAAAGUGGAAUUCCUAGUGUAGUGGUGAAAUACGUAGAUAUUAGGAGGAAUACCAGUAGCGAAGGCGACUUUCUGGACACAAACUGACGCUGAGGUACGAAAGCGUGGGGAGCAAACAGG
This 746-nucleotide ribosomal RNA is filed under the name uncultured Finegoldia sp. RNAcentral's name for it is "bacterial SSU rRNA". It matches the Rfam family "Bacterial small subunit ribosomal RNA", at positions 28 to 776 of the family's 1533-position model. Lineage: Bacteria; Bacillati; Bacillota; Tissierellia; Tissierellales; Peptoniphilaceae. The record is from RNAcentral.